Molecule: ribosomal RNA, 330 nt
Filed under: uncultured bacterium
Lineage: Bacteria
Description: bacterial SSU rRNA
Rfam family: Bacterial small subunit ribosomal RNA
Source: RNAcentral
UGCGCAGGUGGUUUUGUAAGCCAGAUGUGAAAUCCCCGGGCUCAACCUGGGAAUGGCAUUUGGGACUGCAAGGCUAGAGUGUGGCAGAGGGGGUGGAAUUCCGCGUGUAGCAGUGAAAUGCGUAGAGAUGCGGAGGAACACCGAUGGCGAAGGCAGCCCCCUGGGCUAACACUGACACUCAUGCACGAAAGCGUGGGGAGCAAACAGGAUUAGAUACCCUGGUAGUCCACGCCCUAAACGAUGUCUACUAGUUGUUGGGGUAGCAAUACCUUAGUAACGCAGCUAACGCGAGAAGUAGACCGCCUGGGGAGUACGGUCGCAAGAUUAAAA